RNAcentral lists this unclassified non-coding RNA (376 nucleotides) under soil metagenome. RNAcentral describes it as "partial contains 5.8S ribosomal RNA, internal transcribed spacer 2, and large subunit ribosomal RNA". The stretch from base 1 to 120 matches the Rfam family "5.8S ribosomal RNA", at positions 35 to 154 of the family's 154-position model. The record is from RNAcentral.
GAUGAAGAACGCAGCGAAAUGCGAUAAGUAAUGUGAAUUGCAGAAUUCAGUGAAUCAUCGAAUCUUUGAACGCACAUUGCGCCCCUUGGUAUUCCGAGGGGCAUGCCUGUUUGAGUGUCAUUAAAUUCUCAACUACACUGACUUUGAAUUGGUGUGGCUUGGAUUUGGGGGGAAAAUUGUUGUGGGCUUUUUGUAUAGUCUGCUCCCCUGAAAUUGAUUAGCGGUACCUUUGUGGAACUGUCUACAGGUGUGAUAAUUAUCUACAUCUUAGACAUCUGCUGGAAUGCUGCUUUCUAAACCUUACUUGUAUUGACAAUCUUGACCUCAAAUCAGGUAGGACUACCCGCUGAACUUAAGCAUAUCAAUAAGCGGAGGA